This 240-nucleotide unclassified non-coding RNA is filed under the name soil metagenome. Its description in RNAcentral is "partial contains 5.8S ribosomal RNA, internal transcribed spacer 2, and large subunit ribosomal RNA". The record is from RNAcentral.
AACGAGGCCGACCUGCGGCUGAGUUACCUGCGGAGGGAUCAUUACAGAGUUCAUGCCCUCACGGGUAGAUCUCCCACCCUUGAAUACUAUACCUUUGUUGCUUUGGCGGGCCGCUUUGGCUACUGGCUCUGGCUAGUAAGUGCCCGCCAAAGAACCCCAAAACUCUGAAUAUUAGUGUCGUCUGAGUACUAUAUAAUAGUUAAAACUUUCAACAAUGGAUCUCAGAUCGGAAGAGCACAC